UUAAAAAAUCUGCUUUUAUGCAGAUCUCUUGGAAGUAAAUGAUGCCCCUUAGGCUUCAAUAAAAAAAUAAAAUUACAAACAACAGAUCAUGCAUAUUAUAUAAUCAAAAUAGAUUUAUCUUAGCUUUAUGAACAAAAGAUGUCUUUCCACAUAUGACAUUUAAACAUACACGCAAAAUAUGCCUGAUAUGAAUAUGUAUUUUUGUUCAUAUAACCUAUUCUAUAUGUUCAAAUCUG
Molecule: long non-coding RNA, 236 nt
Filed under: Solanum tuberosum (potato)
Lineage: Eukaryota; Viridiplantae; Streptophyta; Magnoliopsida; Solanales; Solanaceae
Description: long non-coding RNA (STUB_LNC006358)
Source: RNAcentral